Molecule: long non-coding RNA, 2084 nt
Filed under: Sus scrofa (pig)
Lineage: Eukaryota; Metazoa; Chordata; Mammalia; Artiodactyla; Suidae
Description: lncRNA (ENSSSCG00040018969.1)
Source: RNAcentral
CGCGCGCGCCUCCCUUGCUCCCCAGCGCUCACGCUCGCGCGCAGUUCCCUCUCGCCGGCUAGCCUUCAGCCGCCGACGUCUCGGCCCCUCAGAAAGCCGGUCGCGCCAUGUCUUCGCCUCCCGAGGGAAAGCUAGAGACGAAAGCAGGACACCCGCCCGCCGUGAAAGCUGGUGGGAUGCGAAUUGUGCAGAAACAUCCGCACUCUGGAGAUGCCAAGGAAGAGAAGGACAAGGACGACCAGGAGUGGGAAAGCCCCAGAAGCCCCAUGCCUCCAUAGACAAGCAUCCAUGCCCGAGAACCCAGCACAUCCAGCAGCCUCGCAAGUGAUCGGCGAGCACCCACCACCCACCCUAGCCUCGGUUCCCUGACACUUGGUAUUUCCCGACAAAGAGGACUGGCAUCUUCUUCAAAACACUUCCCCGUGGAGAAAUCCAAGACAAAGCAAAACUCCCCUUCCGUUGCCUUAAAUUUCCACAUCUAACACUAGAAUCAGACCCCAAACCUUGUUUGCAGGGAGUCCUGGCUGGUAUCACUUGAGGGUCCUUGGGCCUCUUACAAGUGCCAUUAGCAGAACUUACCGGACCUGAGUGAAAUGAGCUUGUUCAGAGUUUAGCUUUGUUCCCAUUCAUUGGCUGCCCUGUCAGUGGACUUAAAAACAAGCGGGCACAGAUUUUGGAGGGUUAGAGGAAGGUCAGGGGAAAGCUCAGUCAUUUCAUGCUUUUUGGUAAGAGGACCAUAACGUCUUAACACCUAGUGGACAGAGAAAGAGAUGAAGGCAUUGAUUACAGGAAGGCUGAGCAGGGGAGACUUUUGAAACAGGCAACAGCAUCGCUGUAUUUCCCUCCCUUGUGUGACAAGGGAUCACAGCACAGGAGACACCAAGCACUCACAGAAGGGCCACGGAAAAGCUCACAGCUUUGAAAUGGCUCUUCUUUCCCAGGAGUCAUCUUGCUGAAAAUUUUGCCCAAACCAGAUCUGUCAGUGCGGGUCCCAAGUCCGGCACAGCCCCACCAUCCAUAAUGGGUUUGUAGGAAAUCAAGGAAAACCUUCCUUCUUCAGGCAUCACCUCCAGAGCUGUCUUCGGGUUCGGGCCGUGAUCACUGACCGGGUGACACAUAGCUAGUCUUGGAACCCUAGAGCAAAAGCUGUUAACGUCCGUGGAAAGACCAGAUGAAAACCUGCCCUUUGCCUCCCUAGGGAAAAGCAGAACACCAUGUGCCAUUUGAGCUAGAAAAGCCUGUUUGUCAAUCAGUCAAAGUGUCCAGAUUCCCUCUAACCAAGGGCCCCGUUGCCUGGGCCCAUGUUCACUUGCCAUCUCAAACCGUCUAGCACUUUCUGUCCACAUGUCCUGCCCAGAGCCACCCUAGACUGCCACUGGCUCAUAGCUACCAUAUGCCUUGCGUUUCUGAAAAGCCAAAGGGCUCAUUUAUUUACUCAGAGGUUCAAAUCUCCCAGAGCAGAUGCUUUGAGAGAAGGUGCAGCCUGGCAGUCCCGCUUGCCGGAGUGGUGUUUGCUGCAGCUGGGCACACACACCACAGUCCUUGCGAUGCCUUCUCCAGGUCCACAGCCAUGACUGGUAAGAGUGCCAGAGGCCAGGAGACCCAGCUCUCAUCCUUCCCUAAGGGAAAAGCCAGCACUUCUUCACAUCCUAAAAGUAAUGUUUGGUUUCCCAUCUCAUUGAUGUGGGAGCCGGGGUCUUACCCUGCAAGCGCUGUAUAGUCACGUCUCCUAGUCCUUAAUUGCUAAGAUGCUGCCAUACUCUGGAGCUGGCUUGUGGAGAUGCAGGCUAGAUGGGCAGCCACCUCCUGGAGGCAGCAUCUCUGAAGGAAGCUGAGAGCAGACAGCACCAGGUCAGGUCUGUGGACCAUUACACCCUCUGCUGCAGAAAUGAAGACACGUCCUCGAUGCUUUUUAGUGUUGCAGCCAGGAUCAACUCGCUACUCCCCAUGGUGCAUCUUUCACGUCCUUUUUGCUACAUCUGGCAUGGAGCUGUGUGUUGUAGAAUCACUGAACGCAAAAGGUUCUCCUGGAUGAGUUUAUCUGUAGUUAACUUUUAAGAAUAAUAAUGGUGAUAAUAAAGCUC